GACGUAAGAGGCGUCGUGCACCCCUUCGAGCGGGACUGCUGAUCACUGAAACAACAGCAAGUGUUGCGACUUUCUCAAAUAGCUGCUUUUUGUGACUAACUUAGAUAUGGCCCUUCAGACUGAAGCGGAUUUACCACCUGGCCUUGCAUGUUUUAAAAAUGUUGAUACCCUGCUUCGGUGUCCCAUUUGCUUCGACUUCCUCAAUAUUUCAAUGAUGACUAAAUGCUCUCACAAUUUUUGCUCCUUGUGCAUCAGAAAAUUUCUUUCCUAUAAGUUGCAGUGUCCAGUUUGCAAUACACAAGCAACAGAACAAGACCUAAGAAAUAACCGUUUAUUGGAUGACUUGGUCGUAAACUUUCAAGCUGCAAGGCAGCAGUUGUCAAAAGUAAAUUUUGACUCUCCUCCAAUAUCACCGAAGACCCCGGCUUCCGCUGUCAAAUGUAAAACUCCCAGAGAUAGGGGCCAGAAGUGUAACAGCUCUGUUUUGAAUCACUUUUUCCAGAAGAGGCCUAAAAUAUCUCCCACUAAAGCAACCAAGCAUUGUGUUCAGCUGGAGAAAAUACAGACUACAUUUACCCCAAAUGCAAAUGACUUACAUUCAGCAACCGCUCAAGUACCAGUGGCUGUGAAGGAAGAGCCGAUAGAUGUGGAGGAGGCCUCCAUCCAGGGUUUGAUGUCAGUCAAACAGGAGGACAUCGCCUCGUACAAUAUCAGCACUGGGGUUGAGAUAGCGCAUUCCUCAUCACCAUCACAAGAAGUAAAGCCCGUAAUCAAAGUGGAGUGCCCUGUGUGUUCUGUAAGCGUGCCACAGCAGUUUAUCAACAAGCAUCUGGACAUGUGUCUGACCAGAGGAGAGAAGAAGGAAAGCUUGAGGAGCUCCCUUGGCAAGGCGAGGCGUCCAAUGGGGAAGCUUGUGUACAACCUGCUUUCCCUGCAGGAGCUGAAGAGGAGGCUGAAGGAAUGCCACCUCUCAGUGCUGGGUUCUCGAGACCAGCUGAUCAAAAGACACCGGGAGUUUGUCCACGUAUACAAUGCUCAGUGUGAUUCUCUAAACCCAAAAUCAGCUGAAGAUAUUGCCAAAGAGCUGGAGGCCAAUGAGAAGAUCAGGAAUCAGCUGCAGGGGAAAGCCAAACCUGUCAUGGUUUUCUCAAAGAGUCUGUCUGAGAAGGAAAUUGAUGAGAUGCAUUCAAAUUACAGGAAGCAGCACAGCAGCGACUUUUCCCGCCUGAUUGCCCAGGUUCGGGGUCGCCUAGAGACCACCCGACAGACUUGUAUCAAACAGAAAGUCAUUGUGGAAGGAGAGGAUACACAAAAAACACACUUUGCAGAUGAAGUUGAAGAAUCAAAAAGUUGCUUUGCGAUGAAGUUAGAAGACAGAGAAACUGAUGAUGAGCCAUCUGCGGAAGGGAUCGAAAUGUCACCCAGCCCCUCUGAUAGUGACGUGUCCAUCAGCAGUUCUAUUUCAGACAUCUUUGGUCCAGAGCCUGCCAGAAACUUCAACUGGCGAUGAAUUAAUAAACCAGUGGCUGCGUUGGUUUGACUGCGCCUGAACGCUCCCAUACAAAGAGACACAGAGAGGACCUCAGUCCAAAAGCAAGCAUCCAGGUUGAGACGAGAUGAUGCAGCUUCAUCGACUUCCCUCGGAAAACGGCGGCGUAAAACGUAAUGAGAGAUGGAGGAGACCGAGAAAGAUCUAUCGCCCACCAAAUCAACACCAAUACACUUUUGACUGACUUUCAAGCAUAUCAAGAAAUUUUUUUUUUUGCACAUUCCUGUUCGGUAUUUCAUGGGAUUUUCCAAAGUUGCACUGUUAAUGUGUCAUGGUAUGAAUAAAUGUUCAGUAUUUUAACAUUUUGUAGUCCUGUGAUCCAUGAUGACCUGUGGCCCCAGAAUUUGAUCAGGUUAGAGGGUAGUAAGAGGGCUAUGACUAUAAUCAUUUGAAUCUGUUUUAAAAACUAUUUAGUAUGGUAGAGAUUUAGUUUCUAUGUGUAGACAUAAGCAGACAUUAUUAUAAUUUCUACUUGUUUCCAGUGUCCCAGUUAAUAUCCAGUCUGUCCCAUCUACUGCUGCUCUUAAUAUUGAAUCCAAGUUAUGUUGUUGUUGUUUUUUCUUUAUUAUCUUAAUCUUUUCUUCAUUUCAUGUUACAUUGUAAUAUGCAGUUUAAACUGAAAUAAACCUGUAGAGGCAUCUGA
Micropterus salmoides (largemouth bass) is the source of this 2192-nucleotide RNA transcript. It is a transcript of the gene named RAD18 E3 ubiquitin protein ligase, with no coding region annotated. NCBI's taxonomy places the organism in Eukaryota, Metazoa, Chordata, Actinopteri, Centrarchiformes, Centrarchidae. The transcript has 14 exons. The record is from RefSeq and is a predicted model, not a curated record.